GAUGAACGCUGGCGGCGUGCCUAAUACAUGCAAGUCGAGCGAACGGACGAGAAGCUUGCUUCUCUGAUGUUAGCGGCGGACGGGUGAGUAACACGUGGAUAACCUACCUAUAAGACUGGGAUAACUUCGGGAAACCGGAGCUAAUACCGGAUAAUAUUUUGAACCGCAUGGUUCAAAAGUGAAAGACGGUCUUGCUGUCACUUAUAGAUGGAUCCGCGCUGCAUUAGCUAGUUGGUAAGGUAACGGCUUACCAAGGCAACGAUGCAUAGCCGACCUGAGAGGGUGAUCGGCCACACUGGAACUGAGACACGGUCCAGACUCCUACGGGAGGCAGCAGUAGGGAAUCUUCCGCAAUGGGCGAAAGCCUGACGGAGCAACGCCGCGUGAGUGAUGAAGGUCUUCGGAUCGUAAAACUCUGUUAUUAGGGAAGAACAUAUGUGUAAGUAACUGUGCACAUCUUGACGGUACCUAAUCAGAAAGCCACGGCUAACUACGUGCCAGCAGCCGCGGUAAUACGUAGGUGGCAAGCGUUAUCCGGAAUUAUUGGGCGUAAAGCGCGCGUAGGCGGUUUUUUAAGUCUGAUGUGAAAGCCCACGGCUCAACCGUGGAGGGUCAUUGGAAACUGGAAAGCUUGAGUGCAGAAGAGGAAAGUGGAAUUCCAUGUGUAGCGGUGAAAUGCGCAGAGAUAUGGAGGAACACCAGUGGCGAAGGCGACUUUCUGGUCUGUAACUGACGCUGAUGUGCGAAAGCGUGGGGAUCAAACAGGAUUAGAUACCCUGGUAGUCCACGCCGUAAACGAUGAGUGCUAAGUGUUAGGGGGUUUCCGCCCCUUAGUGCUGCAGCUAACGCAUUAAGCACUCCGCCUGGGGAGUACGACCGCAAGGUUGAAACUCAAAGGAAUUGACGGGGACCCGCACAAGCGGUGGAGCAUGUGGUUUAAUUCGAAGCAACGCGAAGAACCUUACCAAAUCUUGACAUCCUUUGACAACUCUAGAGAUAGAGCCUUCCCCUUCGGGGGACAAAGUGACAGGUGGUGCAUGGUUGUCGUCAGCUCGUGUCGUGAGAUGUUGGGUUAAGUCCCGCAACGAGCGCAACCCUUAAGCUUAGUUGCCAUCAUUAAGUUGGGCACUCUAAGUUGACCGCCGGUGACAAACCGGAGGAAGGUGGGGAUGACGUCAAAUCAUCAUGCCCCUUAUGAUUUGGGCUACACACGUGCUACAAUGGACAAUACAAAGGGCAGCGAAACCGCGAGGUCAAGCAAAUCCCAUAAAGUUGUUCUCAGUUCGGAUUGUAGUCUGCAACUCGACUACAUGAAGCUGGAAUCGCUAGUAAUCGUAGAUCAGCAUGCUACGGUGAAUACGUUCCCGGGUCU
This 1372-nucleotide ribosomal RNA is filed under the name uncultured bacterium. RNAcentral describes it as "bacterial SSU rRNA". It matches the Rfam family "Bacterial small subunit ribosomal RNA", at positions 28 to 1381 of the family's 1533-position model. The record is from RNAcentral.